UUUAUGGAGAGUUUGAUCCUGGCUCAGGAUGAACGCUGGCGGCGUGCCUAAUACAUGCAAGUCGAGCGAACGGACGAGAAGCUUGCUUCUCUGAUGUUAGCGGCGGACGGGUGAGUAACACGUGGAUAACCUACCUAUAAGACUGGGAUAACUUCGGGAAACCGGAGCUAAUACCGGAUAAUAUUUUGAACCGCAUGGUUCAAAAGUGAAAGACGGUCUUGCUGUCACUUAUAGAUGGAUCCGCGCUGCAUUAGCUAGUUGGUAAGGUAACGGCUUACCAAGGCAACGAUGCAUAGCCGACCUGAGAGGGUGAUCGGCCACACUGGAACUGAGACACGGUCCAGACUCCUACGGGAGGCAGCAGUAGGGAAUCUUCCGCAAUGGGCGAAAGCCUGACGGAGCAACGCCGCGUGAGUGAUGAAGGUCUUCGGAUCGUAAAACUCUGUUAUUAGGGAAGAACAUAUGUGUAAGUAACUGUGCACAUCUUGACGGUACCUAAUCAGAAAGCCACGGCUAACUACGUGCCAGCAGCCGCGGUAAUACGUAGGUGGCAAGCGUUAUCCGGAAUUAUUGGGCGUAAAGCGCGCGUAGGCGGUUUUUUAAGUCUGAUGUGAAAGCCCACGGCUCAACCGUGGAGGGUCAUUGGAAACUGGAAAACUUGAGUGCAGAAGAGGAAAGUGGAAUUCCAUGUGUAGCGGUGAAAUGCGCAGAGAUAUGGAGGAACACCAGUGGCGAAGGCGACUUUCUGGCCUGUAACUGACGCUGAUGUGCGAAAGCGUGGGGAUCAAACAGGAUUAGAUACCCUGGUAGUCCACGCCGUAAACGAUGAGUGCUAAGUGUUAGGGGGUUUCCGCCCCUUAGUGCUGCAGCUAACGCAUUAAGCACUCCGCCUGGGGAGUACGACCGCAAGGUUGAAACUCAAAGGAAUUGACGGGGACCCGCACAAGCGGUGGAGCAUGUGGUUUAAUUCGAAGCAACGCGAAGAACCUUACCAAAUCUUGACAUCCUUUGACAACUCUAGAGAUAGAGCCUUCCCCUUCGGGGGACAAAGUGACAGGUGGUGCAUGGUUGUCGUCAGCUCGUGUCGUGAGAUGUUGGGUUAAGUCCCGCAACGAGCGCAACCCUUAAGCUUAGUUGCCAUCAUUAAGUUGGGCACUCUAAGUUGACUGCCGGUGACAAACCGGAGGAAGGUGGGGAUGACGUCAAAUCAUCAUGCCCCUUAUGAUUUGGGCUACACACGUGCUACAAUGGACAAUACAAAGGGCAGCGAAACCGCGAGGUCAAGCAAAUCCCAUAAAGUUGUUCUCAGUUCGGAUUGUAGUCUGCAACUCGACUACAUGAAGCUGGAAUCGCUAGUAAUCGUAGAUCAGCAUGCUACGGUGAAUACGUUCCCGGGUCUUGUACACACCGCCCGUCACACCACGAGAGUUUGUAACACCCGAAGCCGGUGGAGUAACCUUUUAGGAGCUAGCCGUCGAAGGUGGGACAAAUGAUUGGGGUGAAGUCGUAACAAGGUAGCCGUAUCGGAAGGUGCGGCUGGAUCACCUCCUUUCU
The sequence is a ribosomal RNA, 1554 nucleotides long. It matches the Rfam family "Bacterial small subunit ribosomal RNA".